Molecule: ribosomal RNA, 761 nt
Filed under: Alloprevotella tannerae
Lineage: Bacteria; Pseudomonadati; Bacteroidota; Bacteroidia; Bacteroidales; Prevotellaceae
Description: bacterial SSU rRNA
Rfam family: Bacterial small subunit ribosomal RNA
Source: RNAcentral
GAUGAACGCUAGCUACAGGCUUAACACAUGCAAGUCGUGGGGCAGCGGAUACUUAGCUUGCUAAGUAUGCCGGCGACCGGCGCACGGGUGAGUAACGCGUACCGAACCUGCCCAUCACACAGGGAUAGGCUUGCGAAAGCAAGAUUAAUACCUGAUGGUCUCAGUUGUAUGCAUGUAUAAUUGAGUAAAGCCUUCGGGCGGUGAUGGAUGGCGGUGCGUCCCAUUAGGAAGUUGGCGGGGUAACGGCCCACCAAUCCUUCGAUGGGUAGGGGUUCUGAGAGGAAGGUCCCCCACAUUGGAACUGAGAUACGGUCCAAACUCCUACGGGAGGCAGCAGUGAGGAAUAUUGGUCAAUGGGCGAGAGCCUGAACCAGCCAAGUAGCGUGCGGGAUGAAGGCCCUUGUGGUCGUAAACCGCUUUUAUCAGUGAAUAAAGUGCACCACGUGUGGUGUCAUUGCAGGUAGCUGAAGAAAAAGGACCGGCUAAUUCCGUGCCAGCAGCCGCGGUAAUACGGAAGGUCCGGGCGUUAUCCGGAAUUAUUGGGUUUAAAGGGAGCGCAGGCGGGAGUGUAAGUCAGCUGUUAAAUAUCAGGGCCCAACUCUGUUAUGCAGUUGAAACUAUAUUUCUUGAGUACGCACAGGGAUGGCGGAAUUCAGGGUGUAGCGGUGAAAUGCUUAGAUAUCCUGAAGAACUCCGAUCGCGAAGGCAGCCAUCCGGAGCGUAACUGACGCUGAGGCUCGAAGGUGCGGGUAUCGAACAGG